Molecule: ribosomal RNA, 213 nt
Filed under: Streptomyces paradoxus
Lineage: Bacteria; Bacillati; Actinomycetota; Actinomycetes; Kitasatosporales; Streptomycetaceae
Description: partial 23S ribosomal RNA
Rfam family: Bacterial large subunit ribosomal RNA
Source: RNAcentral
GUGCCAGUUGUUCUGCCAAGGGCAUGGCUGGUUGGCUACGUUCGGGAGGGAUAACCGCUGAAAGCAUCUAAGCGGGAAGCCUGCUUCGAGAUGAGUAUUCCCACCUCCUUGAGAGGGUAAGGCUCCCAGUAGACGACUGGGUUGAUAGGCCGGAUAUGGAAGCACGGUAACGUGUGGAGUUGACCGGUACUAAUAGGCCGAGGGCUUGUCCUC